UUUAAUAAUAAUUUUUUUAUUAUUAUUAUCUCAAUAAAAAUGUAGAUUACACAUCCAAAUUUUACCAAUUUUUUUUUACAAUUGGUUCUAAUUUGAUAAUAUGUCGAUCCUUUAUUACACUAUACAUUGCAUCAAUAUAUGAUCUCAUUUAGGGAUUGAAAACCCAAACAGAUUCAUUUGUUUUUAAUUAAUUUUUAUUUUUUUAAUUAAAUAGAAAAAUGUUUCAUUCGGAUGAUUUAGACAAAAUGAAAGAGAGUAAAUGUAUUUGAUUUGAGUGAUAUUUCAACGAAUUCUGAUUUUGACAAAUGAUUUUUGCAAAAGAUUAGAAUUAAGAGGGAAGAUUAUAGAAUUCUCUUAGUGCAUAUAAAAGUGGUAUUCCAUCUCUUAUAAAAAAGUGAGCUCUCCUUAUAAUAUAGAGAGUGGGUCUUAUAUGAUUGUGAGAGAUGAUGCAUGUGUACUGGUUGCACCUAAUAAUAUCUUAGUGAGUAGUAUGAAUCUCCCAUUAUUUAUACAUCAAACAUAUAAUUUACAUUGUCAUAGUACACACUUUCAUUUUAUUUUAUUUUUUUCAAACUGAGCAUACCAACAAAACCAUAUGCCCAAACAUAAAGAACAUAUAAUUAUGGCCUACAAAAACACAACCCUUGCACUUAUAAUUUGACGUCACAACUUUCUCCUUCCACUUCCUUGGUAAAACUGCGGCCACCCUUAAAGAGACAUUGAAUUUCAUGCAGCUGCUGCAAAAUAAAAAAUGUAUAUCAUCAACUGUAAAUAAUGAUUUUUCUUAAACAUUUUCCAAAACAAACAUUAGAAUUUCAAAAUAAAGUUGAAUUACUUACUACAAUACAAAGGUGGCUCUAUUCUAGCUUCCAUAUAAUUGUUUCUGACUAAAUAUAAAUCUUUGAUUGCAUCGCUUAUGUCCAUUCUAUCUUGAGGAGAGUCCAUGGAACAUGCUACCCCUACCUUGAUCAUGCAAAUUAGGCAUUCAACUUUGCUGUCAUUUCUUGCUUGCGUUGGACCUUCAUUGUUAUUUCCUCCUCCAUCUUCUUGUAAAAGAACUGGGUCUACAAUCUCCAACACUUGGUUGGGCAAUGCCAUCCUAGCAAAGUUGUGAAGGUUAAAACCGUCUACAAAAAUAACGUCAGUGGGUUCUUUUCCUGUCGCCAUCUCUAAUAAUAGGAUUCCAUAACUAUAAACAUCUCCAUUCAUGGAUACCUCACUUCCUAAUCCAUACUCUGCAAAAUUUAAAAAAAAAAUUUAUAGAUUUUGACAAUAACGUAAAAAUAAGAAAGCACAUAUGAUGCAAAAGGAUCACAACCACCUGGAGCUGCGUAACCUAUUGUUCCUCUAACUCCAAUUGAGCUACUUUGAGUUGGAUUCAUGAGGUGAGGAAGAAACUUUGCCAGCCCAAAAUCUCCAACAUGAGCAACCAUAUCAUUAUCAAGAAGAAUAUUGCUUGGCUUUAGAUCACAAUGAACAAUUGGCUGGUGACAAUGGUGAUGAAGAUAAUCUAGCCCAUUCCCAACAUCUAUAGCAAUGCUCAAUCUCUGCAAAAGACUUAGACUUGGUUGUUCAUCAAUUAGGUCAACACAUCUUUCUAAGUCUGUAUGUAACCACUUCUUUAAAUUCCCAUUGGGCAUGUAGUCAUAAACAAGUGCCCUAAAAUCAUUUCCUUUGAAAUCAAUACUGGAGCAAGACGACAUUAACUUGACAAGAUUUCGAUGACGAACAUUUCUCAAGGCUUUGCAUUCAGCUAUAAAAGUGUUUGCAGCGCCUCGUUGUUGAAGGUUGAGUACUUUCACUGCAAAGAUUGCUCGAUCCUCCACAGAUGCACCUUUAUAGACAGACCCAAAGCUUCCCACACCAAUCAAAUUUGCCGAAGAGAGCCCAUCAGUUGCCUUAAGAAUCAUUUCAUAUGAAAUCCUCUGAAAUGAAUUUAUUUCUAAGGAAGUGGGAGAUUGGUCUCUUUUCUUCUUCUUGGAUUUGUAAUACAUGGCAAUUGAUAGCAUGAUAAUGCCCAAAGCACAAGAGAUGAUGAUCACAACUAUUUUGAUAGUUCGCAAUCUGCUUCUUUUUGAUGCUUCAACAGGGCAUCUUGGCAAUUGUAGCUCUGGUAUACCCCCACAAAGCCUAUUGUUUCCUACAAUUGAUAUUGCACUAGCAUUUGCGAAAACUCCUUUGACGGGAACAUCACCAUCAAAAUUGUUGAAAGAUAAAUCAACAUAUUCCAAUGCAAAUUUCUCUAGGUAUUCUGGAAUCUCACCAGAAAAAUUGUUGUGAGACAAAUCAAAAAUUCUUAGACCUUUUAAAGAGGCCAAAGAUGGAGGCAUGUUUCCUUGUAAGUUGUUAUUGCCCAUGUAAAGCAACUCAAGGCUAUUGCACCGACCAAGGUCAUUUGGAAUAUUGCCAGACAACAUGUUUUUAGCAACAUGCAAUUCCUUCAAAUUGAAUAAAUUUCCAAUUUCUGAUGGGAGGGAUCCAUCUAAGUGGUUCUGAUCUAGUGCUAAGGAAACUAGCAUGGACUGGAAAGGAAAAAGCUGUUUAGGUAUGGAGCCACUAAGAUUGUUCUGAGAAAGAGACAUAAAUAAUAAUUUUGGGCAAUUUCCAAGGCUAGAGGGAAUGUUGCCUUGUAAAUUAUUGCGAAAUAAUCGAAUUUCACCCAAUGAUGAUAUGUUUCCUAAAGAUGAAGGAAUUGGUCCAUAUAAUCUAUUAUCAUUGAGUAUAAGAUCUAUUAGUCUUGAAAGCUUACCUAAUUCAAUGGGAAUGGUACCCAUAAUUUGGUUAUAUGCUAUAUUCACAUAUUGUAACCUAACAAGCAUUGAUAACCACCGAGGGAGGCUUCCACCUAUUUGAUUGAAGUGCAUUGAUAGCCAUUCAAGGGAUGAAGAUAGAUUGCCCACAAAAUUUGGCAAUACUCCCUUAAACUGAUUGUAGGACAUAUCCACAUCUUUCAAAUUGGUACAAUUCAGUAAAGAAGUGAUAAAAUCCAAAUCAUUACCUCCCUUGUUUCCAAGAUUGUUACGACUCAAAAAUAACCUGUAAAGUUGUUGUAAUCCUCCAAAAUCAACAUUUACUUUCCCAUUGAAUUUGUUUUGCUGUAAAAGAAUUCGUUGGAGUUUGGUGGCAUUGGAUAAUGAUCCUGGAAUGGAUCCACUAAAAUGGUUUCUUGACAUUUGUAAUACCUGAAGAUGAGGUAGGAGGAGGCCAAUAUUUGAUGGAAGACUUCCAUGGAGAGAAUUAUUUGAUACAGAUAAUAUUGUGAUGGAGGAUAUAUUAUAAAUGGCUUGUGGGACAAUACCUGAGAGGUUAUUGCUUCCAAGCCCAAUAGAUGACAAGUACUUGAGUUGACCCAAAGAAUGUGGAAUAUUUCCACUCAAGAAAUUUCCGCGAGCUGACAAAGUUUCAAGCGAGCUAAAGUUUCCCAAAAAUGGUGGUAUGCCCCCGCUCAAAUAAUUAGCAUGAAUUACAAUUAGUUUAAGCUUGGACAAAGCUGCAAGCUCUACUGGAAUUUUUCCAACCAGCUUGUUGUAAGCUAAUCCAAGAAAACUCAUGUUCAAGCAUUUGGACAAGUUGGAUGGAAUUUUCCCUUCAAAUGAGUUGUUGCUAAGAUCUAGAAGUUGCAGCCUGAACAAACGACCUAGUUCUGAAGGGAUUUCACCUUGAAGGCUAUUGUUUUGUAGUGUAAUAGCCGUAAGGAAACUCAUGUUUCCUAUAUGAGGAGACAAGUUACCCACCAAGCCUUUAGAAUGAAGAUCUAGUAUGGUGACUCUUUUGUGUCUGCGACCACAUAUGACACCUUCCCAAUUACAGAAAUGGGUAGAAUCAUUCCAUGAAGUCGUCGUGUUUUGAGGAUCAUAAACAAUCUUUGCCUUGAAUUCUAGCAAAGCAUGAUGAUCUGUCUCAUUCCCACCACCAGUUGGAGCAGCAUCAGCGGAGGAAACUUGGAAGCUCAGCCCCAUAAGGAAGAAGAGAACAAUGCAUUUCACAGAAAAUGUCAUUUUGUUUUAGGUGUCUAAGUUAAUGUUUACGGUUGUAAUGCUAACACACAUUUAAUUGGAUUAUAUAGGCACACUAUGGCCUUGUCUACCACAAGAAUAAAUUAAUGUGAACUCAUUAUACUCAAACUUCAC
This 4130-nucleotide unclassified non-coding RNA is filed under the name Hevea brasiliensis (rubber tree). The record is from RNAcentral. Lineage: Eukaryota; Viridiplantae; Streptophyta; Magnoliopsida; Malpighiales; Euphorbiaceae.